UAAGAUCUAAAAAAUGUAAAUCCAGAACAUGUAUUGGAAAAAGUCAACGAAAUGGAAAUUAACAGAUUGAAAAAUGUAGACGAAUCAAAAAUUAAUGGCUUCAAAUCGAAUCCUCCACCACCGUCGGCGCCGAAGAUCUUGCUUGUUGAACGAAACUCCAUCACCUUCAAGAUUCAAUAGAUCUUGUUCUCUGUCACGAAAUCUCUCUAUUAAUCCACUUUUUGCGUUUUGGACACCUUCGCCAGAGAGCCACCGUCCACCGCCGGUUCCAAGGACCCUGGUCAUCUUCUCCCUUUCAUUUUCUGGGCAACUUAUCUUUUUUUUUUUUUUAUGAUUUUUGUUAUCAAGUUUUAAUGGAAAAGAACCGUACAUUUUACUGAUAUAGCAAUACAGGGAAAAAUGUUCAUCUAUUUUUUAAUGUAGGGGUUAAUCUAUCAUGUAAAAAAACAGUUGAAGAUUGAAUAAGAGCGUGAAUAAAUCAAAAGGGGGAUUUUGAUACUAAACUGUCCAUGGGUAAGAAUU
RNAcentral lists this long non-coding RNA (522 nucleotides) under Medicago truncatula (barrel medic). RNAcentral describes it as "long non-coding RNA (MTRU_LNC002549)". Lineage: Eukaryota; Viridiplantae; Streptophyta; Magnoliopsida; Fabales; Fabaceae. The record is from RNAcentral.